UAACGGCGCACCAAGGCGACGAUCGGUAGCUGGUCUGAGAGGACGAUCAACCACACUGGGACUGAGACACGGCCCAGACUCCUACGGGAGGCAGCAGUGGGUAAUCUUGCGCAAUGGGCGAAAGCCUGACGCAGCACCGCCUCGUGGGGGAAGAAGGCCUUCGGGUUGUAAACCUCUUUCAGGGGGGACGAAUCUUCCAGGGUUAAUAGCCCAUGGGGUGACGGUACCUUAAGAAGAAGCCCCGGCUAACUACGUGCCAGCAGCCGCGGUAAUACGUAGGGGGCAAGCGUUGUCCGGAAUUAUUGGGCGUAAAGAGCGUGUAGGCGGCUUGGUAAGUCUGGUGUGAAACCUUGGGGCUUAACCCCCAAUCCUGCACUGGAUACUGCCUCGCUAUAGUCCGGGAGGGGGAGAGCGGAAUUCCUAGUGUAGCGGUGAAAAUG
Molecule: ribosomal RNA, 440 nt
Filed under: uncultured soil bacterium
Lineage: Bacteria
Description: bacterial SSU rRNA
Rfam family: Bacterial small subunit ribosomal RNA
Source: RNAcentral